Molecule: transfer RNA, 76 nt
Filed under: Actinomycetes bacterium
Lineage: Bacteria; Bacillati; Actinomycetota; Actinomycetes
Description: Actinobacteria bacterium tRNA-Ala
Rfam family: tRNA
About the family: Transfer RNA (tRNA) molecules are approximately 80 nucleotides in length. Their secondary structure includes four short double-helical elements and three loops (D, anti-codon, and T loops).
Source: RNAcentral
GGGGCUAUAGCUCAGUUGGGAGAGCGCCUGGAUCGCACCCAGGAGGUCGCCGGUUCGAGUCCGGCUAGCUCCACCU